Molecule: transfer RNA, 72 nt
Filed under: Bos taurus (domestic cattle)
Lineage: Eukaryota; Metazoa; Chordata; Mammalia; Artiodactyla; Bovidae
Also listed under: 4 other names
Rfam family: tRNA
About the family: Transfer RNA (tRNA) molecules are approximately 80 nucleotides in length.
Source: Rfam by way of RNAcentral
UCCCUGGUGGCUUAGAGGGUAAAGCGUCUGCCUGCAAUGCAGGAGACCUGGGUUCAAUCCCUAAGUUGGGAA